RNA transcript from Lates calcarifer (barramundi perch), 3234 nucleotides. It is a transcript of the gene named actin-binding LIM protein 1, with no coding region annotated. NCBI's taxonomy places the organism in Eukaryota, Metazoa, Chordata, Actinopteri, Centropomidae. The transcript is spliced from 20 exons. The record is from RefSeq and is a predicted model, not a curated record.
ACCCCCUUUUCCUUUGGACCAGCAGUCCAGUUAGUUCCUCUCCUCACUCUGAUCCGCUGCUCUGAGAGCUCCAACUGAGGUGCAGGAACCAACUGUCAUGAAAGAGAAAGUGGUGCAUGCUCAGGAUGGCUGCCACCCGUGUUCUCCAUCUGGGAAGCGGGUCAUCCAGUGCUUCAGAUGUGGGGAGCAAUGCAAAGGAGAGGUGCUGCGGGUCCAGAGCAAUCACUUCCACGUAAAGUGUUUUAGCUGCAAGGUGUGUGGCUGUGACUUGGCUCAAAGCGGCUUCUUCGUGAGGAACAGUGACUACCUCUGUCCGCUGGACUUCCAGAGGCUUCACGGCACACUCUGCAGCAAUUGUGGGGAAUUUGUGGAGGGAGAGGUGGUCACAGUCCUGGGGAAGACCUAUCACCCGGCAUGCUUUGUUUGCACUAUUUGCAAGAGGCCCUUCCCUGCUGGCGACUGUGUCACCUUCAGUGGGAAAGACUGUAUCUGUCAGCGCUGCAUGCAACCUGUGUCUCCUACUCCUACAGACAUUAAUUAUACCAGCAACUGCACAGGCUGUGGUAGAGACAUUAAGAAUGGCCAGGCUCUUUUGGCCUUGGGUGGACGGUGGCACCUUGGCUGUUUCAAGUGCAAAGCCUGCAGGAAAGUGCUGAGUGGAGAAUACAUCAGCAAAGAUGGUAUUCCCUACUGUGAGAGAGACUACCAGAUUCAGUUUGGGGUACAGUGUGAAGCAUGCCACAAGUUUAUAACAGGAAAAGUCCUUGAGGCAGGGGACAAACAUUAUCAUCCAGGCUGUGCAAGAUGCAGCCGAUGUGACAAAAUGUUCACAGAAGGACAAGAAAUGUAUCUGCACGGAUCUACAGUCUGGCACCCAGACUGCAGAGACAACAGCAGAACUGAGGACAUUUACAGGGUCAGCAAACCAAAAACACCCUGUCUUGAUUUCUUUUUCCCUCCACGUGAACUGAAGCCCACUAGAUCUUCAUCUGAAAGCUCCUCUUCCAGGCCGGGUUCAUGCACUCCAGGAAGUCCUGGUCGAACUAUCUGUGCAAAAGUAGAUAAUGAGAUCAUCGAUUACCGCGACUUAGCAGCAAUUCCCAGAGUCAAGGCUAUAUAUGAUAUAGAGCAUCCUGAUAUGAUAUCCUAUAAGUCUGUGAGCGACAGCCCCUCUGCUUUGGACAACAGAGGCAACAGACAGGACAGGCAAAACCCUGCAGAGUCAACAGGGAAUGUAUCUGAAAGCACGGAGGAGAGCUUUGAAAUGAGGAAGUGCAUACCAAAAUCCACAAGCCACGGAUCUUUUCAUGCAGGGUACAAUCGCCACAGCUACACUCCAACUCUGUCCAAAUCACCGCAACACUUCCACAGACCAGCAGGAUUGAUGCUUUCUCCCUCUUUAUUCUCUGGCAACAAUGACACCUGCUCCGCUUGCCCCUCUAGUCACCACUUUCUCCCUCACACCACAGAUGAGGGUUUCCACAUGUACAGGAGGCCUCCAAUUUAUAAACAGCAAGAUCCAAAUUCCUCCACAUCCCAAACAUACUCUUUGCCUCGAUACGGUCGCAAUGGCCUCCAUCCGCCACAGUCAGCUGAUUUCUCCCACUUGAACGGUGACAGAUUCAGAGCUCAUCCAUGAUGGUCAGCAUCCAUUAGCACGAAUGGAGAGAGGAAUGUCUAUGCCUAAUUUGUUGGAACCAAAAGUCUACCCAUAUGAGGUGCUUGCAGUUAGUAACAGAGGGCGAGGGAAGCUUCCAAAGGAUGUUGACAGAACAAGACUUGAGCGCCACCUUUCCCCAGAUUCAUUCUUUGAGGUCUUUAGCAUGGAUAUCCAAGAAUUUGACAAACUUCCACUCUGGAAACGUAACGACAUGAAGAAGAAGGCAAAUCUCUUCUAAAUGCAACCUAUUUUAAUUCAAUGUUAAUAUGCAGUACAUGUCAACUUCUGAUUAACCUUUAUGUUUAUUUCUUUGCAUUUGGCACAAAUGUUAGAAAACUGAACAGCACAAAUCACAACUUUACAGGGCCACAGUUAGUCUCUCUAGGCUACUGAAAUGAAUAACAGUUAAAGCUAUAAUACCUCAAAGCAGAUAUGAACACGUGAACUCAACUUAGUUAUAGUCUUGGCUUCGGUAAGAGCCAGUAUUUUACUUUCCUAUGUCAGACCUAGUCUUCCCAGGAAUUAUGUUCAUAUUGGACGAUUCAGCUGAAUGUAAUUUAUGCCCAUUCAUCAUAAAUGGAGCACACAGUGUGGUGUUUUUGUAGCUUGGCGAUGAGUAAGGGCAAAAAGUAAAGUGUUUGUCUUUGAUGCUUUGCAUCCUGUUUGAGACUGACAGCUGAAGUCUUUCCUUGUCAUAGCUAACCAAGUUAUCUUUGUUGCCUAACUAAAAAUGCACUGUUAGUGUAUUUUCACUGGACUGAUGAGGGCGCCAGAUCACUAAAAUGCUCACACACCAUGUUGCUAAGAGAAGAUUUGUGCUGAACCUUGGAUUAAGUUUAAUGACAAAGUUUCUGAUGACAAAUAAUGUUUUAAUUAUUCCUGAAAUAUCUGCAAAGAUGAUGGAUGAGAUAUGGUUAAGGUUAGGCCCCCAAAACAUUUGCAGCACAAACAAACUGUAACUGAAACAACAUUUUCAUUGGUUUGUCUUUGCUUCUCCACUUGCCUUCUAAAAACUAGAGAUUUACUGAUGUUAGAACACAGGUUUUGAGAGUGUUUAAAGUCAGUCACAUUUGUGUCUAAAAUGUUUUAAAGCUGGUUAACCUGAAGCCUUUGUCGAUCAAUAGUGCGACCCCUUUAUGAAUAGUGCUUCCAAUGAUUCAUAGUGUAGUGACUGAGUACAUGAAAUGGACAUAACCUGUCAUCAACAUGUAAUUCUGAUAAAAGAUAGUGAAUUAAUCCCCCUUGCAUUUCACUCAUGUUUCAUUAUUGUGUUAUGUGAUAUUAUAUUUUUGUUACUCAGUUAAUUCUUAUUUUGUUGUCUCCUGGUUACACAAACAUCAUGUUAAAGCACUAAACUGGUUAAAGAAAAUAUGUGAGAUCUGUAUUUCUGAGUCAAUAUAUUAUCACUGGAAUGUGCUUUAUUGGACUGUUAAAUGAAUAAUUAAGAUUAUUAUUUUUAUUUUAUGUUUCACCCUUGGUUAAGCUUGGCUGUGGUAAACUGUGUAUAUUACCUUGACAUUACUGUUUGAGCACACCGCCACCUCAAAUGAAAUAAAACCUUGCACUUCUUACAA